Pelobates cultripes (western spadefoot toad) is the source of this 228-nucleotide non-coding RNA. Lineage: Eukaryota; Metazoa; Chordata; Amphibia; Anura; Pelobatidae. The record is from the annotation of a GenBank genome assembly.
CUGUCUCUAGCGUAUUAGUCCGGCCAUUCUAAGGUCCGGUUUACGCUCUGUCCCUUUAUUUUCCUUUUCUUGCCUAUGUAUAUGUUUACAUAGUUUCUGCGUGCUGGACCACACUAGUAGUCGUGACAUUGGGAUUAAACUGAUAAGAAUAGUACUACUUAACACACCACUCCUAUCUGGUGGCAUAUUAGAUUGCACGCGCAGUGCCCCAAAUUUGAAGGAGGACCG